Long non-coding RNA from Mesocricetus auratus (golden hamster), 326 nucleotides. RefSeq lists it as uncharacterized. Lineage: Eukaryota; Metazoa; Chordata; Mammalia; Rodentia; Cricetidae. The record is from RefSeq and is a predicted model, not a curated record. The transcript is spliced from 4 exons.
AGAUGAUUAGAUUUCAGCCCAGCGUUCUUCCACCGCCUGAGGAAGAGAGGGAAUCAGGACUUUGCCUGGAACUUCAACUGAUGAUUCACUAAAAUAUUGAAUAUCUGCUAAUAAAACAGUGAAAAAUUAUUGGAGAAGAGGGAAAAUCUCAAUCGUAAAAGCCUAAGGAAAGAAUUAAAGGUUUCAGGAUUGAACAAGGAUUCCUAAAUACAUCGUUUCUUUCUCCGUGCCUACAUUUGCAGUCUGUUCAAGCUUACGAGAAAGGACAUUAGGAUAUGGAUCAAAUACAGCGCAUCGAGUUACAAUAAUGCAAGACACAAACCCUC